Falco peregrinus (peregrine falcon) is the source of this 4680-nucleotide long non-coding RNA. RefSeq lists it as uncharacterized. Lineage: Eukaryota; Metazoa; Chordata; Aves; Falconiformes; Falconidae. The record is from RefSeq and is a predicted model, not a curated record. The transcript has 2 exons.
CACCCACUUAAGGCUGUGAUCAGAAGAGGACGAGAGAGACCUACAGCCUGCAGGAUUGCCACCUUAGGGACUGCUUAUGAACAAGCCGAGCAUCCCGGCUUUCCAGUGGACUGCUCAGCCAGCAGGGCUUCUACUGCCAUGGGGAGCAAUAUGAGGAGGCAGACACCUGGGAGAGCACUGAUAACCAUCUCCUCCCCACACUAAAAGCUGUGAGGCCAAAGAGAGGGAAUUACUGUUGGGACUGGGAAAGGCUUGUCCUUGCCUUCUGGGCCAUGUAGUCCUUACAUCAUGAGGUUACACAUCUUUCCAUCUUCUUUCCAUCUGUCUUUGGGGGACAUCCUGUGCCUCCCAUUUCUCUUCAUGCAUUUUUUCCCCCCCUGGAAAUACGCUUUUGUGGCGUGCACUCUGCUGUGCCCGUUCCUUUGUGAUCUGCACGUCGUGCCGAGCACAGCUAAGACCAAGGCAGCUAAAUGCAGCUUUGGUUUCCUCGGCCAUAAGCAUCCUUACCUCCAUGCUUUGGAAGGCAGAGAGUGUCUCCAUCCUCCACGCCUCAUACACUUCCCUGACAAAAAGCAUGAGUGACUGCUGAGGCUUGAGGCAGUGCCCGUGGACUUGGGAGCACAUAGACCACCCUGGCCCAAGGCAUGCUGCCCCAGCAGCUCCAUUGUAUCACAUAUCCAUUGCAGAUGAUGUUGGCCUGGUUUUUGAUCCCAUUUCCUCUUCUGGAUGGCAUGAGGCCAUGCAGGCUGGAGCUAAACUGCCUGUGCUACAGCUGGUUGUGCAUCUCCCUCCACCUCAGCAAUAACACAUAAACCUCGGCUUGUAUCUUGUGUCUCAGGGGUUACACCGAAGAGACAGGCAGAUGUGCCAUCAAUAGAUUAAGGUCUCAGGAAGAACCACAACAACCACAGAUGCUGUAUUUUGUCCUACUACUGUUCUAAUUCCCCAGGCAUUUGCUAUACACCCAUGGCCACCAAGGUUUUGUAUUCCAGUUCUUGUCAACCCCUGUUAUUGAGGCAAAGCCAUGUGUGAAUGGAUGUAACCUGAGGAACCAAACCCCACCGCUCUCUUGCAGCGGUUUCCACACUACCUCUGGACUUCCAUAAACAGAAUGAAUGCCUUUAAAAUUGCAGCCAUUCAAAUGGAAAAUACUGCUGAACAACUCUGACAUAGAACAAAAAUAAAGAUGGCAGAAUUACAAUUGCGGAGCAGGAAACCCUGAACAUUUUAUCAGCCUCUAGAAAGCUCUAGGAACAAAUAAUAACUCUCAAAACACAACCCUGGAAACAUUAAAAAAAAGAAAAAAGAAAAAAAAGAAAAUAUUGCGUUCCAAAUUAUUACACCAGUCAAAUCUGAGCCACUUUUGCUGGGUGCUCGUCCUCCCUGCUGAUCUGAAGCCAUGUGGGAAAAUACUAUUCAUCUGUCAAUGGCAUGACAAACCUGGAAAGAGACCCCGUGAGAAGUUGUCUGCUCGCACUCCUUGAUUAAACAAGAGCUUUGAGCAAACAGACCUGGCCUCGGUUGCUAAAUCAUACAUCUUCUUCACUAAAUGGAAAGAGGACAAGAGAGAAAACACUGCUCUGAGCUCAUUAUUUCCAGACUUUCAGCUGUCAAAACACUACACAGUAUCCCCGUAACCUGAGAAAAGGGCCAGAGAGUUCAGGUCCAAGGUCUAGGUUCCCUAACCAUGCAAAGCCAGAGCCCAAGACAUCAGGGGUAUUUGGUCUCCUGUGCCUCCCUAGCUCGGAGGGAUGCACUCACCUACACACCCCAAAGCACUAGCCCUGGAAAUGCUUUUCCAGUGGAAUGCUUGAUUCCCUGCCCCUGAGGGUCAUUGCUAUAACAUCUCUCAGCAGAAACAAUUCUCAACAAGGGGGGAAGAAAAAAAAAAAAAAAGAAAAAAAAAAAAAAAGAGGCGAGAGAGAAAAACCACAAAAAGAUGCUUAAGCAACACAGGAUUUUCUACAAAUCCACCAAGUUAUUUUUAGACUCUCCUUUAGGAUGCAAGCACAACAGCCCAUUUCAAGGCCCUGUGUCCUUCAUCUCUCCUGGGAAUAGACCUGCAACACUGGCAAGGUAAGGGCAGGUGGAAGCUUUGUGAGCCGAGAGCUGAUGAAACUUGGGCUCUGAUAGAUGGCUUUUCAUGGCUGGUUACAGCUGACAGCUUCAUGCGGCGGAUGGAGCGCUUCUGGUCUCUUCUGUGUGUGGACUUGAGGGCAUGGAGAAAAUGUGGAGUCAGUAGGAAGUCAAGGAAGGAUCUAUUCAAGUGUGGCCAAGACAAGCAGCAUGUGUAUACCGAGCCUGUUUGCUCAGACUCUUCUAGCUAUGAAGUGUUCUGCAGAAGGCACUGGUAUUCAGUAGUCAGGAUAAACACAAGCAGGAUAAGACCCACAGCCUUUUCAGUCCUGCAGCCUGGUGCUGGAUAGAAGCUUCUGCCCUGGAUAGGGGCUUCUCCAUCCUCCCCACAGCUAAACACCAAGGUGGGCACCAACAAGGUGGUAUUCAAAAGCUGCCUGGCCCAAAGGACCGCUGCUCUUCCAGUCUCCCUGCAUUCCUGGAACACAUUUGGAGCGCCAUGUGGUCUGCUCUGCUUCUCACACACUGCGUGAUGAACUGCACAUACAUCAAAAUGCAUGUGCACAACAGCAAUAAUGAGCAUGGAGUGAGCAAAGCAGCUACCUCAAAUCUAAAACAUAGCUCAGCAAAUAUGAAAAAGUGACUGUCUCUAAGCAGCAAACCAGAAUUCAACCAGGGAGAGGAGACAUACUGCACUCACCUUCGUUGGCCUCUACAGGCUGAACAUCCUCCCAGAACUUCCAGGCAGCACAAGCUGCUGCAGUCCUCCAGCAUCACGUGGAAGGAGCCUUGUUUUCCCAAGGACUGUGCAGGAGAAAGGCAGGAGUGCUGUGGGAUCAAUGCUGAGCACGUCUCUUCCCGAAGCUAUAAAUGUGAAUCAUUUCUCUAUUAUCAUGGUCCGAGGGAAGUAAACGUGCCCGCCUAGAAUUUACGUCCCCAGGUCUCUGCACCAGAAAGGCUAUGAGUGAUCGCCUGCCACAGCACAAGCUGGGGAAAAAACAGACUUUAAAGAUACAGAAAGGGUUGCCUUUCACCAGUUGGUUCUUCUCCAAGUCCAUCCUUUUCAGGUUGUGACAGCACUGGCAGUAAGAUUUGUAAAAGAUCAGGGAGGUCUCUACAGAAGGGGCAAUGCAGCAGGAUGUUGACUCCAACCAUGUGAUGGACACAAAACCAUAAAAGAAGGGUUCUGGGGUAGGAAUUGCAGGUAUUUACUCUUUCCUACUGGUGAGAACGGCGAUGGUGGACCAUCUGGAGAGGGGUAUCUUACAAACCUGUGUUUCUAGCUCAGGAGAAAUCAGUUCAGGAGAUGUCUAUGCUUAUUCAGUGAAAAUAUGUGUCUGAAAUUUACACCCAGAUGUUGAGACCCCAGGGCAGCUGACAAGCCUUGCAUUGGCUUACGACUAAUAUACACCAUCUGUCAAAGUCAGAGAGGAAAACAGCACUUUUCCGCUUUUGGGUUGGGCUGCCUCACCACUGGUCUGGCUGAAUUGGUUUAGAGAAGUGAAAAUCAUACACCUUCUUGAAAUCCAUGAAUCAAAGAAGCCCAUCCAUCCUUUGUGAGGUCUUCAAAGGCUUCAUCCCUUACAUAUGGCUACUUUAAAAGGAAGGAACAGAGGAGUGAUCACCUGGACACAGAGCAGCACUGACAGACUCCUGACUCCAGGUUCUUGGAAGGAAUGCUUUUCUAUGGCAUAGAAGAACAGCUGUCCCCAUGAAGUGGAGGACUAGAAUUAAAAACUCAAGAUGCAUGAAGUUCUUGCAUCCUUAGGGCACAAGAGGGAUGCCUGAAACAUUUUCAGUCCAUAGGACCUACAUAAACAUCCCUAUGGCCCACCUCAGCCAGUUUUCUACCAGAGAUAUCUGAACCCUAGAAAUCUUCCAGCACAGAUGGCUCUAGGCAAUGUGAGCCCAGAGAGAAAAGCAAACAGAAGAAAAGGUCAGGUAGCAGCAAAAACAAUCCUUCCCUCCUGACAAGCAUUCCUGUCACAAGAAAAACAGCAAAACCGAGAUGUCCCAUACAAAAAUCCUGAGAUGUUCUCCCCCUCCUAAGGGUUCUGGACCCAGGACCUCCUUAUCUGCCAGUGUUUCUCUUCUCCUCCAGAUAGUAUCCAGAGAAAUCAACCCAUUAAAAGCAGCUGUUUUGGGCUCUUUCACCUUGGAUUCACAAAUGCUUCCACCUCCUCUUCUCACAAAUCUGUCCUUCCCUGAACAGUCUGGGCCAUACUUCAGGAUGUCAUCCCAAAACAGAAACCAGCUGCAAGACCCAGCUAUCUGCAUCUCCCUGCCCAUCACUGAACUGCAGUCACAGUGGGGGGCUGAAAAACGUGCUUCAAGCAUCAGUCAGCAGGUUACUCCUCUCUGCACUCAGACCUGCCCAGCAUUCAAAGCAAGGCAGCCUCCAGCUGGGUUCUGCAUUCCCUGGCUUAAGCAAGAGCUCCUAUUUCUAUGCAUGUCCUAGUUUCUGGUCAUAAUUCAGUGGUACAUUAAGAUCAAGGCUGGUUUGACUACCUGUAUGCAUUUAGAGAGGAUUUCUGCAGAAGAAGCUUUUAAAAGCAGCAAUUCACUUGGCUGUGAAGCUAACUUCAGGUUUGCUGUUGUUGUUUU